Molecule: ribosomal RNA, 301 nt
Filed under: uncultured Methanomicrobia archaeon
Lineage: Archaea; Methanobacteriati; Methanobacteriota; Methanomicrobia
Description: bacterial SSU rRNA
Rfam family: Archaeal small subunit ribosomal RNA
Source: RNAcentral
CCUACGGGGGGCAGCAGGCGCGAAAACUUUACAAUGCGGGAAACCGUGAUAAGGGGACACCGAGUGCCAGCGUCAUACGCUGGCUGUCCAGGUGUGUAAAAUACACCUGUUAGCAAGGGCCGGGCAAGACCGGUGCCAGCCGCCGCGGUAACACCGGCGGCCCGAGUGGUGAUCGUGAUUAUUGGGUCUAAAGGGUCCGUAGCCGGUUUGGUCAGUCCUCCGGGAAAUCUGACAGCUCAACUGUUAGGCUUUCGGGGGAUACUGCCAGACUUGGAACCGGGAGAGGUAAGAGGUACUACAG